Molecule: transfer RNA, 72 nt
Filed under: Camelus bactrianus (Bactrian camel)
Lineage: Eukaryota; Metazoa; Chordata; Mammalia; Artiodactyla; Camelidae
Also listed under: 2 other names
Rfam family: tRNA
About the family: Transfer RNA (tRNA) molecules are approximately 80 nucleotides in length. Their secondary structure includes four short double-helical elements and three loops (D, anti-codon, and T loops).
Source: Rfam by way of RNAcentral
GAGGGAAUAGCUCAGUGGUAGAGUGUGUGCUUGGCAUGCAUGAGGUCCUGGGUUCAAUCCUUAGUACUUCCA